This is a long non-coding RNA of Hemicordylus capensis (graceful crag lizard), 377 nucleotides long. RefSeq lists it as uncharacterized. The record is from RefSeq and is a predicted model, not a curated record. Lineage: Eukaryota; Metazoa; Chordata; Lepidosauria; Squamata; Cordylidae. The transcript has 3 exons.
UAGAUACACUAUAGGUGUAACGAAAGUGCAGUGACAAAAUUAAACGCCACGAACUAGCUCCAGCUUCAGGAGCACAGGAGCACAGCAACCAAUUUAGAUUAUGACUCAUACAAGCCUGAAGGACAGUUACGGGAAAAGGGAAAGAAACAGAAAGGCAUGAAACUAGCAAAACACCAUGACAGUCGGCGGGGUGAAUCCAGUCCUCUGGUUGUUACAGAUACGCAAGAUCAAAAGCAAGUUUUUGAUCCUCCUGUCAUAGAACUGGUAUCUCCUGCUGCUGCUUUCAUUCAGUUUUCUCACUUGAGCCACUAAGAAAGAUGCAACCUAAAAUAUAUGAGCAACAACAACAACAAAAAACAAGAGGAGAAGAAAAGGUA